CCUACGGGAGGCAGCAGUGAGGAAUAUUGGUCAAUGGGCGAGAGCCUGAACCAGCCAAGUCGCGUGAGGGAGUACUGCCCUAUGGGUUGUAAACCUCUUUUGUCGGGGAGCAAAAGCCGGACGUGUCCGGCUGUGAGAGUACCCGAAGAAAAAGCAUCGGCUAACUCCGUGCCAGCAGCCGCGGUAAUACGGGGGAUGCGAGCGUUAUCCGGAUUUAUUGGGGUUAAAGGGUGCGCAGGCGGAUUUUUAAGUCAGCGGUCAAAUCGUGGGGCUCAACCCCAUCCAGCCGUUGAAACUGGUGAUCUAGAGUGUGCGAGAGGUAUGCGGAAUGCGUGGUGUAGCGGUGAAAUGCAUAGAUAUCACGCAGAACCCCGAUUGCGAAGGCAGCAUACCGGUGCACAACUGACGCUCAGGCACGAAAGCGUGGGUAUCGAACAGGAUUAGAUACCCCUGUAGUC
This 458-nucleotide ribosomal RNA is filed under the name uncultured bacterium. RNAcentral's name for it is "partial 16S ribosomal RNA". It matches the Rfam family "Bacterial small subunit ribosomal RNA", at positions 338 to 795 of the family's 1533-position model. The record is from RNAcentral.